AUUGAACGCUGGCGGCAGGCUUAACACAUGCAAGUCGAGCGGGCGAGGUUGCUUCGGUAACUGAGCUAGCGGCGGACGGGUGAGUAAUGCUUAGGAAUCUGCCUAUUAGUGGGGGACAACAUUCCGAAAGGAAUGCUAAUACCGCAUACGCCCUACGGGGGAAAGCAGGGGAUCUUCGGACCUUGCGCUAAUAGAUGAGCCUAAGUCAGAUUAGCUAGUUGGUGGGGUAAAGGCCUACCAAGGCGACGAUCUGUAGCGGGUCUGAGAGGACGAUCCGCCACACUGGGACUGAGACACGGCCCAG
RNAcentral lists this ribosomal RNA (304 nucleotides) under uncultured Acinetobacter sp. RNAcentral's name for it is "bacterial SSU rRNA". It matches the Rfam family "Bacterial small subunit ribosomal RNA", at positions 30 to 334 of the family's 1533-position model. The record is from RNAcentral. Lineage: Bacteria; Pseudomonadati; Pseudomonadota; Gammaproteobacteria; Moraxellales; Moraxellaceae.